This 758-nucleotide ribosomal RNA is filed under the name Bacillus amyloliquefaciens. RNAcentral's name for it is "bacterial SSU rRNA". It matches the Rfam family "Bacterial small subunit ribosomal RNA", at positions 42 to 782 of the family's 1533-position model. The record is from RNAcentral. Lineage: Bacteria; Bacillati; Bacillota; Bacilli; Caryophanales; Bacillaceae.
GCGGGUGCUAUACAUGCAAGUCGAGCGGACAGAUGGGAGCUUGCUCCCUGAUGUUAGCGGCGGACGGGUGAGUAACACGUGGGUAACCUGCCUGUAAGACUGGGAUAACUCCGGGAAACCGGGGCUAAUACCGGAUGGUUGUCUGAACCGCAUGGUUCAGACAUAAAAGGUGGCUUCGGCUACCACUUACAGAUGGACCCGCGGCGCAUUAGCUAGUUGGUGAGGUAACGGCUCACCAAGGCGACGAUGCGUAGCCGACCUGAGAGGGUGAUCGGCCACACUGGGACUGAGACACGGCCCAGACUCCUACGGGAGGCAGCAGUAGGGAAUCUUCCGCAAUGGACGAAAGUCUGACGGAGCAACGCCGCGUGAGUGAUGAAGGUUUUCGGAUCGUAAAGCUCUGUUGUUAGGGAAGAACAAGUGCCGUUCAAAUAGGGCGGCACCUUGACGGUACCUAACCAGAAAGCCACGGCUAACUACGUGCCAGCAGCCGCGGUAAUACGUAGGUGGCAAGCGUUGUCCGGAAUUAUUGGGCGUAAAGGGCUCGCAGGCGGUUUCUUAAGUCUGAUGUGAAAGCCCCCGGCUCAACCGGGGAGGGUCAUUGGAAACUGGGGAACUUGAGUGCAGAAGAGGAGAGUGGAAUUCCACGUGUAGCGGUGAAAUGCGUAGAGAUGUGGAGGAACACCAGUGGCGAAGGCGACUCUCUGGUCUGUAACUGACGCUGAGGAGCGAAAGCGUGGGGAGCGAACAGGAUUAGA